UGCAAAGAGGCUGAAGCAAUCAGCUGAGCUGAUUGCAAUGGAAGCCAUUGUAUAUUACUCAGCAGGAAAACAAUAUGCUCUCUGCCUGGCAAAAAACAGGGGUUUCUGCUUCUCCUGAGCUUCUAGCGCCAUGGAGAACCAAUGCAGCCACACAGAUUCAGCUCCUCUUCAAGCAUCUGACCACCCAGAUGCUCAAGAAAUAGAAGAGUGAGAUUAUCCACAGCUGCAAGAUCCCAAAUACUUAAUAUGUGAAGAUAAUUCUUUCUCAGGAAGUAAAAAUUAUCUUUCAAAAAAUCAGAAGAAAGCCACUGACACAGCUGGAUGCUGAAUUCAUGUGACCAGUGAAUGUAGUUGUACUUCUACCCGUUUUAGUUAUAUAAAAGCACUUUUAGAGGUUCUUUAAUAAAGGCAGCACAGAUGAUUAUUUGCAGAAGUACUCUAAGCUUAAAACGUAAGCAACUCUAAGCCUUCUUAGUCAUGGACAGAUGUUUAUUAAAAUCAGCAAUUAAUAAAAAAAUUUGUAUCUCAAAUAUGGAAAUUAAUAAAACAAAG
This is a long non-coding RNA of Myiozetetes cayanensis, 552 nucleotides long. RefSeq lists it as uncharacterized. The transcript has 3 exons. The record is from RefSeq and is a predicted model, not a curated record. Lineage: Eukaryota; Metazoa; Chordata; Aves; Passeriformes; Tyrannidae.